UCAAAGCGGGAUUGAAUUUGGAAAUCGCACCCUUCCCCCAAAUUGUAUACCUUGCCCUUCUCUUGUAAAAAUUUUUGGUUUAAGCGCCACUUUCUGAAAGGUGAGGGCCUGAAAAUUUCAAUUGGCGCCAUUAAAAUGUUUGGGAUCUUUUUCAUUUUCUGGGUAAGUGAAUUUGGUUGUUGACUGACUUCCCGCAGCGGCAUCUCCAUCUCUUCUCAUUUUCUAUGUCCUAGCGUUUCAAAGAAGCCAUUUUUGGAGGAUUCCUUUGUCUUUCAAGCGCUUAAUUACUCUCGAUCUGGCACUUUCUUUCUCUUCGAUCCCCUUCAAAUCUCAGGAAAGGGUUUCCAUUGGGACUGAAGUAGUCUGUCAUUCAAAAGAACACACUAUAGGAAAUAUGGUUGGAGAAGCAAGCGUCACAUAUGAAACUUCCAACAAUUUGGUGCCAAACAGAAACUUUGGGAUUUGUUUUACACCGCCACUGAGGAAUGAGAGGGCCAAGAGGUUCCCAAGAGAGACGAACUAGCUAACAGUAGUAUCGCAGUUUCUUCUAGAAGGCUUGUGGUCCUUUCAGAUGGCACUUAGGCCACUCAAAGUGCAGCCCUAGAAACUUCUAUUUCUCCCCCUACCUUGGUUCAAGGGUCGUUGGCUACUCAAGGAAACCUGAGAUCACUGCUGCUAUAAAAAUAUAAAAGUGCUCAAAGGAUGGUUGAAGCAUAGUAGAAGCGUGCAAAUUUCAGUUUGUAAAAACUAGUUUUGACCAAAGUUGACCUUAGUUGACUAUGCUAGUUUUUUGGGUUUCUUUGGUAUUUUUGGUUUUUUUGUCUUCUCGUUAAUUUUUUUCUUUGUUUAGCUUUGGUAGGCUACUUUAUUUCAUCAAGACCGCAUUUUGUUGCGUUGACUAGGUUUGGUUGAGCUUGUAUAAACUUUACUUCAUUUUUUGGUUAAUAAAAUUUCUUAUGUACCAAAAAGAGGAAAUAAAAUAAAAUAAUCCAA
This is a long non-coding RNA of Spinacia oleracea (spinach), 993 nucleotides long. RefSeq lists it as uncharacterized. Lineage: Eukaryota; Viridiplantae; Streptophyta; Magnoliopsida; Caryophyllales; Amaranthaceae. The transcript is spliced from 3 exons. The record is from RefSeq and is a predicted model, not a curated record.